Long non-coding RNA from Ictalurus punctatus (channel catfish), 4604 nucleotides. The record is from Ensembl. Lineage: Eukaryota; Metazoa; Chordata; Actinopteri; Siluriformes; Ictaluridae.
CUGUACUAGUCUACAUAGGACUAGUACAUUAUAGUACUAGUACAAUCAUAGAAUUGUCCUCCACUGUAAGCAAAGUAAGAAAUCUAAAAAAUCCAGAAAUCCAGAAAAAAAAAAACCUCGAAUAUGAGCCAAUAAUUUGAAGCCUUUGCUUCAAACUCUAAUAAGUGAUGUGUCUUUGGAGAAACUGCAUAAGCAAGAGGAAAUUCUACUGUUCUGGAGAUAAAGCAUUAUCUAAGUGGUUCUGUACUAUAAGGAAAUUUGAAAUAGUUGUGUCAUUAACUUUAUGUGCUACUGUUAUAGAUAAUGACAUAACAUAUUGAUAAACGCUAAACACUGAUAUUGCCUUGUAUGUUUCCUCAUUCCAUUCUGCCCCUAUUUCAGAGAACAUUGGAAGACAAGUUUUUAACAGCACUAGAAUUCCAGCUGAGCACGUUUAUGCAAUGGAUUCAGUUGAGUUACACACCAGUCGCACCGUUACAGCUGUUCAUGACCUAACUCCUCCCACAGUGAAGACGAAUCCCACUGCAAACAACUCUCAUGAUGAGCCUGAUGUAUCAGGAGAUGUGCUGGAUCAGAACACACAACCUCCCACCAUGACUACUGAACCCUCUGGAAAAUAUGAUGAUCUGACCACUGAGAGUGCUGAGUUUACAGAAAAAAAUAGAGAAGAAGUUGCAGAUGAUACCACCACAACAUUUAGCCUAGAAAACACUGGCUCAGGUACGGAAGAGCCAAUAGACGCCACCACAAGUGAACCAAACACUGAAGGCUCAAAGGACAAACAAGAGGACCACAUAAAUUACACAUCUGAGAGUCCACCAGCACCGACCACUGAAGUGAAUUCACGUCAGUCUGUGCAAUCGAAAGGGAGGAAGGGACCUGGCAUAGCUUCAUCACCAGAAGAGAAUACCAGCAGUGGCAGCACCAAAGAUUGGUUGGUCAUCUUGAUUGUGAUUGUGGCCAUCGUUGCUAUUAUUAUUCUGGGUGCUUUUGUGGUAACAAGGAACAGGUGGUGUGGGAGAAGCCAGACUCUGAUGAUCACCUCCAAGAGCAGCGGUGAGGGCAAUGGGACAGCAGCAUCAGCGGCCAGCCCCGAGGCUCAGGAGAGAGAGCAGGAAAUGGUGACGCUUAUGAACAAAGAGAAGAUCCAGGAGAAUGGCAACACGGAGGAGUUUACUGUGAUCACCCUGGAAGAAUCACCAGAGAAAAACCAGGAAGCAUGAAAGACUGAAUGAGACGGGUUGAGGAUGAGGGAUCAAAAGGUUGGGGGAGAGAGUGAUGGGUCAUGGCUUAAGUCUUAACCAGAGAGAUAGAAGCUGUUAGACACUUUGGGAGCCAGACAGACACUCAGAUACUGUUGGUGACAUAAAGUGUCAAAAGUCUUGUUUGGUCUUUUUAUAUGAAAAAUUUCCAUUUCCUUAAGGGUAAGGAAUCUACUAUAAUUUUCCUGUGGCUUCAAAACAAACAACACAACAAAGUGUUAUAUUUUAGACAAAAGGGAAAAAUUAAAGAUUUCUCUACACGCCAUGGAGACAUCCUAAAUUUAAACCUCUGGGCUCUUAAUUCUUUUCUAGUUUCAUUUUGCCUUUCACAGUGAGAAAACCUGAUGGUUAAUCUAGCACAAAUGAGAAUGUUCUUUUGAACUGAUUUCACCUUUUUUUGCUCCCCAAAUUUAGGGCUAAUCAACAUAUUAAGGAUGAAACAAAAGCUGAUGGAAACCAAAUUUUAUGAUCUCAAUAAAAUAGUUACAGAGAUGGUGAUACUGCUCACCAGCUCAUGUCUCCUAACUUCCCCAUCGCAUGCCUGAUACUACUAAGGCCUCUUAACACAGAUAAGACACAUUUAUCAUCUCCUAAUGUCAGUUAUUAGAUGUAAAAGUCGAUUAUAGCUUCCAGCUUAUCUAAAAACCGUUUCACAAUUAUAACGAGUAUUUAUUUAAAUUGGAUUGUGGGGAAAAACACUUAAACUUUAUUUCAAUAUUGUGGUGUGCAGUGUGGUUCUGUGCAGGUUAUAGGAUAGUAAUGAGGGCGGCAGAGAAAGAUGUAUGGUUUUAAUAAAGGUCAUUAAUGUCCAUGCACAAAGCCAUCAUAGUGCUAGAAUUCAUCUUCAGUGGGUUUCAAAUGAAACAAGAAAGGACAAAUAAAGUGAAAUGAAGAGGCAGAGAUGCUGAUACGUGUUUUAGAGUCUUUUGAAAAUGUCUUUUCUGACUUUUUUUUUUUUUUUUUUACCCCUGCGAAUGAUGUGUUUUUGUUUGUUUGUUGUUUGUUUGUUGGCUGGUUGGUUGGAUGAUUGGUAUUUUUUUUUUUUUUUUUUUGCAUUUAAUUUAUCCUUUUGUAUAUACCACUAUGCUUGUUUACUAUUGUAUGAGAUUGGAAUAGUCAGACCGUCAUAUCCAUUUCUUUAGUCAGUGUAACUGAAAACCAAUUUGCACCCUUAUUGAUGAAGUAAUAUCACACUGUAACUUGAUACCAAUGUUUUAAUAUUUUUGAUCUCCAAAAGUCUAUCAAAGAACAUGUUGGAACAAGAAAAGCUAUUGAAAAUUAUAUAUCAUUAUUCUUACCAUCUGAUCAUGCAUAUGCAAUUUACAUAUAUUUACUCUCAUGACAGUUGGGCUAUAAAAUGCCAUUAAUACAGUGUACCAACAUAACCAGUGAUGCAGUUAUUUAUUUUAAGAUGGAACAAAGUGCUUAAAUUAUGUCUUUUAAUGUUCAUACUUUGCACCUUACAUUGCCACCAAAAGCUUGAAGCAUAUGUACAUAUUAGCAUACAUAAGCUUUCUCCACAUACAGACAUUUCAGUUUCAUAUUUCUGCUUUUUUCUCUUUUGUCUUUUUAUGAUGGCAUCUACUCUUGAACGUGCUUUGUUUAAGAAAGAUUAGCAUAUGCAGUAGUGGUAGGAGUGUGUACAUUGACCAAAUAACUCAUUAUUGUUAAUUAAAAAUAAUUUUGUGAGGUCCAGGAUUAAAUAAAAAAAUGUAUAGAUGUGUUUUCUUGCAUCAUUCUUGUUUGAUAUGCAACUGCAUGAGCGAUUGUUAAGAGCACUAUGUAUUUGAGAAAGACUUGGAGGGGGCAGGUGGGGGGUGCGGGUGGUGAAAAAUGGUGUGUUUCUUUGAAGCAGGAGGGAGUGUAGUUGCCAUGGCAUCCAAGUCAUGAUGGAAGAGGGUAUUAUUUCUCCCCCCAGCAUAGAGACACGAGAGAUGGAAGCCAUUUUGAGAAAAUAGAAUUUUUCUGGUUAUGGAUUUUGUUCUUUAGAAUUAAAGUUUUGUUAAAUUUAAAUUACACCUAAAUACUGAAAUAUGACAAAGACAAAGUAAAAAGAAUUGUACAGUGAUAUUUAACCAAUCAGAUACCAGGAAAGAUUUCUUGAAUAUUGAUAUGGCUCUCAUGGACUUACAGUAGCACGUUGAGUUGUGUGACUUAAUGGUGUGCAUUUAAUUUUACAGUAACUACACUAAGAAAUAUGACCUCAAAACAGAGAAAUGGACAUCAUCAGACUAUUAAAAUUACAAUUGGUGACUCCAUAAUCUCAAAAUACAAUUAUUAUAGAAUUUUAAAUAAUGCACAUGAAUGUUUUUACAUUAAAAAAAGAAAUUACUUUUCAAAGUGUUUUGCACACUGAGUUUCUCUUAAUUUCUCUAGAGCUGUCACAUACAGUAUAAUAUUGAACUACUUUCCCUGUUGGUUUAUUGCCUCAGACUCAUCUUCAAGAGAGGCAGCACUGACCUGGGCCACUUCCCCCAUGUAUGUCAUUACAGUGCCAUAUUGCCAUAUUUUGACUUGCCCAAUAAAGUGCCAUGCUGCUCCCACAUCUCAACUGUCACAAGAUCACAGGUGAUGUCCUCACCUUCACUAUGUGCCCAGUAAAUGAGGAACCUCAUGGAUUAUUGUAUUUUUGAUGCUUAACAGAGUGUGUUUGUAGCAUCCCAGAAUCACACAUGUAAAUGAUGUCAGUUCAGUCCCUUGACCAGCAGUAAGCAGUAAGCAAUGACUAUGAAAUUCAGGAAGUGUGUCCUCUUGGAAACUUAUUUUACUAAGCUUUAACAGAUCAUGUAGAAACCACUCAAUGGAAUGAAGCAGAAAGUGUAGGAGCCAGUGGGCUAUAAAUAGUGUUUUGCAAUAGUGUUCUGCAAUAUCCGAGAGGCAGCCACUUUUACUUCUUCUGCAAUUUUCUUCUUCAGAUAGAUCGCUGAUAAUCUCUGACAUGUUCAAAACUCAAUGUUAAAAAUUUUGGUCAAAAUAUUUCAUGUGUAUGUAUGUGUUUGUAUUCCAGGUCCAGCCCAUAGACACAUCAGAAAAAUGUCUCCUUCCUGAUUGGCCAGUUCUCUGGUUUUCAGUUCUAUUUGAAUACUUCACUUUUUUUGUCUUGCACAGAUUCCGUUUGGUAUAACUGUGAUCUGUGUUUUUGGUUUGUCUUAACUCUUUCAAUGCUUGUGAUCUGUAUGUAAAUAUCAGGCAUACAAUUGUAAAUAACCUGAUUAGGCAGUUCAGAAAGUAGGGAGACCAACUUCAACCAUUUAAAAAAACAAUCCUUUUUUCUCCUGUUAGUGCUAGUUAGUAAAAAAAAUUUUGCCUACACUUUUCUAAGUGAACUGAUGUUAUUCAUUU